This 380-nucleotide ribosomal RNA is filed under the name uncultured bacterium. RNAcentral describes it as "bacterial SSU rRNA". It matches the Rfam family "Bacterial small subunit ribosomal RNA", at positions 362 to 758 of the family's 1533-position model. The record is from RNAcentral.
UUUUGCACAAUCGACGCAAGUCGGAUGCAGCAACGCCGCGUGGGGGAUGAAGGGUAUCGGGUUGUAAACCCCUUUUUCGAGGGAAGAAGAUCUGACGGUACCUUGCGAAUAAGUCACGGCUAACUACGUGCCAGCAGCCGCGGUAAUACGUAGGUGGCGAACGUUGUCCGGAUUCACUGGGCGUAAAGCGCGCGCAGGCGGAUUGAUAAGUCAGAGGUGAAAUCUCCCGGCUUAACUGGGAGGGGCCCUUUGAUACUGUCAGUCUUGAGGCACCUAGAGGAGAGUGGAAUUCCCGGUGUACUGGUGGAAUGCGUAGAUAUCGGGAGGAACACCAGGGCGAAACCGACUCUCUGGGCAGGACCUGACGCUGAGGCGCGAAG